UCAUAUGAUGAAAGCAUACGCAAAAUUCACAGACCUGUUCUGAAAAAAAUAGUGUUGAGAAACUGCUUAGCUCACUGAUU
Molecule: small nucleolar RNA, 80 nt
Filed under: Neurospora crassa
Lineage: Eukaryota; Fungi; Ascomycota; Sordariomycetes; Sordariales; Sordariaceae
Description: box C/D snoRNA CD19
Source: RNAcentral